GCUUUGAUUUGUCUUGAAUGUGUUAAGUAAGCCAUGUCAUACUAUUGUGAUUUUAUUGGUUGGUGGAUUAUAAAGUGGGCACUGCAGUGACGGGGGUUCCGUAGGCCAGCCUAAUUAGAGGGGCACGGUUCCCAAUUAUUGAGCUUACCUCGAUUGGAGAGGCGCAUAGGAUAACUCCCGAGGUAGGAUUUGAGUACACUUCACGUUGGCCACCACGUGAAACUAGGACUCAACCAACGCCGAGGAACGGCUGUGUUGUCAGAGGUGAAAUGUGUUUGUGUGUGUGACAAUAAAUAGCCUUGGCGGUCUCGGUAAGAUGCCUUCGCGGGGUAUCCCUGAGAAUGGAUUUUUGGCAAGGGCCAAGUUUUUG
This 370-nucleotide long non-coding RNA is filed under the name Theobroma cacao (cacao). RNAcentral's name for it is "long non-coding RNA (TCAC_LNC000153)". Lineage: Eukaryota; Viridiplantae; Streptophyta; Magnoliopsida; Malvales; Malvaceae. The record is from RNAcentral.